GAAGCUGGAAUUGCUAGUAAUGGCAGGUCAGCAUACUGCCGUGAAUACGUUCCCGGGCCUUGUACACACCGCCCGUCACACCAUGAGAGUUGGGAAUACCCGAAGCCUGUGAGCUAACUUAUAGAGGCAGCAGUCGAAGGUAGAAUCAAUGAUUGGGGUGAAGUCGUAACAAGGUAGC
RNAcentral lists this ribosomal RNA (178 nucleotides) under uncultured bacterium. RNAcentral's name for it is "partial 16S ribosomal RNA". It matches the Rfam family "Bacterial small subunit ribosomal RNA", at positions 1322 to 1500 of the family's 1533-position model. The record is from RNAcentral.